Molecule: ribosomal RNA, 434 nt
Filed under: uncultured bacterium
Lineage: Bacteria
Description: bacterial SSU rRNA
Rfam family: Bacterial small subunit ribosomal RNA
Source: RNAcentral
AAUGAACGCUGGCGGCAUGCCUAACACAUGCAAGUCGAACGAGACCUUCGGGUCUAGUGGCGCACGGGUGCGUAACGCGUGGGAAUCUGCCCUUGGGUUCGGAAUAACAGUGAGAAAUUACUGCUAAUACCGAAUGAUGACGUAAGUCCAAAGAUUUAUCGCCCAGGGAUGAGCCCGCGUAGGAUUAGCUAGUUGGUGAGGUAAAAGCUCACCAAGGCGACGAUCCUAGCUGGUCUGAGAGGAUGAUCAGCCACACUGGGACUGAGACACGGCCCAGACUCCUACGGGAGGCAGCAGUGGGGAAUAUUGGACAAUGGGCGAAAGCCUGAUCCAGCAAUGCCGCGUGAGUGAUGAAGGCCUUAGGGUUGUAAAGCUCUUUUACCCGGGAUGAUAAUGACAGUACCGGGAGAAUAAGCUCCGGCUAACUCCGUGCC